Megalobrama amblycephala (Wuchang bream) is the source of this 563-nucleotide long non-coding RNA. RefSeq lists it as uncharacterized. The record is from RefSeq and is a predicted model, not a curated record. NCBI's taxonomy places the organism in Eukaryota, Metazoa, Chordata, Actinopteri, Cypriniformes, Xenocyprididae. The transcript has 2 exons.
UGUUCAACAGUCUCUUUGGCUUUCCUGUGAAGUAAGGAAACAAAAGGGUCUGGAUUGUCUCUCUGUCUUCUUGGGUGACCCUUUGGUAUGUCGCUUCUUCUACUAUCAGGAAGCAUGUGUCGUAAAAGUAAUCAGCCUGGCUUUAUCUGCAGACGGGCCGGAGCCGGAACCUCAAUUCUGAAUUAGAAUUAUGUUUUGAAAGAAUCAUCUGAAUGAUUCAUUUGUCUGGUUCGUCCACAGUUCCUACAUAUCCCCCCUUGGUUCGGCGAUGUGUUGAGAUGAAGACAUCGGCGGACACUGUAGAAAAAUGGACAGAAGCAGACACACACAAAGCAACAACAAAACAACACCUCCAUGAUUGACCACUAUACUGGUUGUUCUGGUGACAUCAUUUGUGGUAAAAAUGAUGUGACCCAUCAUGGAGCUCUCUCGGGCUCACAUUCGAAUUUUCAAAUGGCUUUCAGACCUUAGGCGUGGUGCGUCAAUCCUAAUGUCAUGACCUUGACCCUUAUGGGGCAGACAGGUAUUUUACCUUAUAAAGAAGAAGGGAAAGAGAGGAAGAG